GCUCGUAGUUGGAUUUCGGAGCGGCGCGGUUGGUCNGCCGCAAGGUAUGUCACUGACCGCGCUGUUCUUCUUCGCCAAGACUGCCCGUGCUCUUAGUUGAGUGUGCGCAGGAUUCGCGACGUUUACUUUGAAAAAAUUAGAGUGUUCAAAGCAGGCUUGUGCUUGAAUACAUAAGCAUGGAAUAAUGGAAUAGGACUUUGGUUCUAUUUUGUUGGUUUCUCGAACCGAAGUAAUGAUGAAUAGGGACAGUUGGGGGCAUUCGUAUUUCGUUGUCAGAGGUGAAAUUCUUGGAUUUACGAAAGACGAACUAAUGCGAAAGCAUUUGCCAAGAAUGUUUUCAUUAAUCAAGAACGAAAGUUAGAGGAUCGAAGACGAUCAGAUACCGUCCUAGUUCUAACCAUAAACGAUGCCGACUAGGGAUCGGCGGGUGUUAUUNUAUGACCCCGUCGGCACCUUAUGGGAAACCAAAGUUUUUGGGUUCCGGGGGAAGUAUGGUUGCAAAGCUGAAACUUAAAGGAAU
This 520-nucleotide ribosomal RNA is filed under the name Bathygorgia tasmaniensis. RNAcentral describes it as "SSU rRNA". It matches the Rfam family "Eukaryotic small subunit ribosomal RNA", at positions 626 to 1153 of the family's 1831-position model. Lineage: Eukaryota; Metazoa; Cnidaria; Anthozoa; Scleralcyonacea; Keratoisididae. The record is from RNAcentral.